Molecule: long non-coding RNA, 536 nt
Organism: Cherax quadricarinatus
Lineage: Eukaryota; Metazoa; Arthropoda; Malacostraca; Decapoda; Parastacidae
Source: RefSeq, a predicted model, not a curated record
CCGGCCCUGAGCACAGUAAACAUCUCUCUCUCUCUCCUCUGGUUGUCUAGUCAAGUUUCAAGUUUCUUUAGGAAACGGUGUCGUUGGUGACGCCUGGUUUACUCUGUGUAUUGGUGGAAAAACUGUUAUUAAUAAACUUGGUCAUUUGCGCUGUCUCUUAAGGGAGAAGCACCGAAGCUGUGACGGUCAUGGAGAGCCUGAAAUUGGAAGGAAAAAGGUUCGCUUCUGCAUACUUAAAGUGAAGAGAUCCUGGAGUCGGUGGAAAGUGAGGUAAUCAGUCCCUCAGCCAUGAUGGGUGUUCAGUCCAUCAGCGUUGAUCAGUCUGGAGCAGAGUACGGACACCUGCUGCACCUCAUUUCUGGAACCAGAAAGGAAGUGCAUCAGUUGAAGUUAUCAUCACAGAACCCAGCAAAAUUUAUGUGCCAGUGAAAAUGUUGCAGUUGUGUCCGACAGCCGGGAAAUUGGUGCACGGGAUUUUAAAUUUAUUUACAACAACAGCAUAAAAGAAAGAAAUAAAAUUCGCCACGAAAAUAAAA